AUCUCCAAUAGCGUAUAUUAAAGUUGUUGCAGUUAAAAAGCUCGUAGUUGAAUUUCUGGUCAUUCUUAGUGGCGGCUUCGGUCCUGCUAAGGUUGGCCAUCCGUUUGCAAGCUGCUCUCGGCCUUCACUGGUUCGGAGUAGUGAGCUGACAUUUUACUUUGAAAAAAUUAGAGUGUUUCAGGCAGGCUUUUGCCCGAAUACAUUAGCAUGGAAUAAUGGAAUCGGACUUUGAUCCAUUUGGUUGGUUAUUGGAUCUGAGUAAUGGUUAAUAGGGACAGUUGGGGGCAUUAGUAUUUAAUUGUCAGAGGUGAAAUUCUUGGACCGUCUGAAGACUAACUACUGCGAAAGCAUUUGCCAAGAGUGUUU
Molecule: ribosomal RNA, 366 nt
Filed under: uncultured eukaryote
Lineage: Eukaryota
Description: SSU rRNA
Rfam family: Eukaryotic small subunit ribosomal RNA
Source: RNAcentral